AUGUAAGCAGUGGGGCAUCCACCUGCCAUCCCAGGCCUUGCCCAGGGUUGUCACAGGAUGCCAUAUAUGAGCCUCACACAGUAGAUAGUGUAGCUGUGGUAGUGACUCUCUCCCCUUGUGUUGUUUAUGCAGAUACACACUGUAUUUGUCCCCGAAACUCUGAGUAAAAGUGACUCAAAGGUUGAUCUAGUAUUGAAGUAGAUAGUGUUUAGAUAGUUUAGUUGACCCUACUGUCAGAUGUGAGACUGAACCCUAUAAUCGAUUGUUGUGUUUGUUGUUUUCCAGUGUUUUAAAUCACAAACUCUAAACUUGACUUGAUGUUUGAAAAACUUAUAAAAAAAGAAUCUGUCCGUUCAUUUAAUAUUGUAAUAUUAUUUUAUACAUGCAGCUAUGAGUAUAAAGUUUUGAUUUGCUCUCUUGUUUUGUACUUUAGAGAUAAAAAAAAGUCACACAUUACAUUUACAAUGAACAAAUCAUAUGUUAUACACAUAGACUGUUUAAACAGUAGAGGCAAAAUCUACGGAAGCCCUGGGAGGCAAGUGAGAAAAAAUAUCAAUUUUCUAAGUCUGAUUUAAAUUAUUUUUUCUCCUGUGUUUAUGACUUAGGACAGGUGAAUAAAAAAAUGUGUCUAUUUUCGCUCAGCUGACAAGCGCAAGGCCUCAGUAUGGAAAAGCUCAUUGAGUUUUACUUUGACCUGGGCAUUAAGCUGAUAUACUGCUCAAUGGGCAUAUUUAAACUCUGUGUUUAAGUUCUAUGAUUUAUAUUUCUUAUGUAUGACAAGAUAAUGUGCAAUGUCAGAGGUGUCGCAUGUGGUGGUGAACCAACAGAGAAUUAUCAGAGAAGAACAAGUAAGUUGUAUCAAAUAAGAAAAAAAACUAAUGUUCUUUAUUAGACAGUUAACAAACAGCUAUACCUAAUUAAACCUAAUUAGACACCAUACACCUAAACAAAUAUUUUAUGAAAUAUUGAUUAAAAAACACGCUACUUUUGCUAAAAGAAAGUUGGAAAAGAGGCUAUGAUGAGCCCUGGUAACCGGACAUCUCCUUCAUUAAAAAAAAAAAAAAAACAGAAUAUUGAGCCAGUCUGAUGUGUGUAGGGGUCUGUAUGGUUAUACUGUAGCAGCUUGUGUUUUCAGGCGAUUUAAUGCCAAUGCUUGCAUGGCACAGAUUAAAAACCCACAGGUCUGUUUUUUUUUUUUUUCUCCCUUGUCUCUUAGAGCUUCUGUAGAACCUUUUGUAACUUUGAAAAUUACUGCAGUUUGCCAUUGUAUGGCAGUAUAGUCAAUGAUAAAUGCUGAAGAAGAGAGAGGACCUGCAGUGUUGUUUUGCUGUUUUAUUCAGUUUAUUUUGAACUAUCAAUAAAUAAAUAAAAUAUCUUCUCUGAUUGGACAGAAUAGAGAGAAUGAGGGACAGGAAAGGUUGGAGAGAGCAGUGUCAUGUGUGGGAUGGAUUCAUGUAAUGCUGUGAUUGCAUGCAAUGCACCUGGGUCUGUGUGCCUGCUUUUUAUUAUUUGCCUUUAUUGAUUAGAUUGACUGUCGGACACAAUGCUCAUCGUAGGUCCACAUGCAUUGCUGCUCGCAUCAACUGCAUGAGGUCCUAACUUCAACAGACAUGUUACUGUAUUUAUGUUUUGUCCGAAUUUGAUUUCUUCAACAUCAGAAUCGUUUUACAUCCUGCAACACUAAAGUCAAAUGAACACUAACCUUAAUGCUGAACCUAAUAUACAUACCUGCUACACUUAAAGUACACUUUGGGGAAAUGACAGCACUGAAUAAACCCAGGUCUGUGCUUUAGACUGCUAUACUGAGCUACUGAGAGAAAUCCAAAACAAUCCCAUUACCUAGUUUUACAAAGCCCUUUGCAAAAGUGUGUCACCCAUUUACCAUUUACUGUAUGGUGCUGGUACUUCAACAAUCUAAAAUCUGAAAUCAUACAUUAUUAGACCAGUUGAUGUGAAAUAUCACAAUUUAUAUAAACCUAUUUAUACUACCCCACUAAGACCAGUUGUAUUUUUAAUACGCUGUAAUAAAAUGAAUCACUUGCAUCAAAAUCAGACCGAUAGUGUCUGGGAAAUCACCUGAGAUUCCACAGUACCGCCUGCCUCACUCUUGUAAGGCUGCAAUGUCUG
Molecule: long non-coding RNA, 2127 nt
Organism: Sander lucioperca (pikeperch)
Lineage: Eukaryota; Metazoa; Chordata; Actinopteri; Perciformes; Percidae
Exons: 2
Source: RefSeq, a predicted model, not a curated record